CUUUUUGUCAAUUACAUGUUGAUAGUACCUUAAGUCACUUGAGCCCUAAAUAUUAAAAUAGCAACAGUAUUAAAAUCUCAGAAAUCUUUUUAUUAUUCAUGAAUGUUUCAUGUUUAACAUUUUAAAAAUUACGUAAGUUUUUAUUGACUUUUCCUAGAUAGAAUUUGAAAAGAUAAAUUUAUUUUCUCUUCUCAUAGUAUAUGAUGAAUAGAUAAUUGAAAAGAGAUCCUCCAGAAAGAGCAGAAGGAAGUUUCUUCAAUGGCUUCCUUCAGGAUUUUAAUCAUCCUUACAGCCUCUUUGAGAAUGAUUGAACUUCCAAAUUCCCUGAAGUUAAAAUUUUAAAUUCUAUUAAACAUUUUUUCGAGUAUUUCA
Molecule: long non-coding RNA, 372 nt
Filed under: Homo sapiens (human)
Lineage: Eukaryota; Metazoa; Chordata; Mammalia; Primates; Hominidae
Description: non-protein coding lnc-CLDN12-3:12
Source: RNAcentral